This is a long non-coding RNA of Ochlerotatus camptorhynchus, 4149 nucleotides long. RefSeq lists it as uncharacterized. The record is from RefSeq and is a predicted model, not a curated record. Lineage: Eukaryota; Metazoa; Arthropoda; Insecta; Diptera; Culicidae. The transcript has 4 exons.
CCUACUCGGUGGUUGUUCGAUAAGGUUGAUCCAAAGUGGAAUCGCUGGCAAUUGACAUGGCGUCAUCAGCACCGCGAUUAUUUCGAAUUUGCGAUGUUUCCAGAAAAAAAUCAACCGUCAUCUGUGCACCCACCAUCGCAAACGUAUUGCGCAAAGGGGAAUCGAAUUUCGAAAGGAAUUUUACAUGCAUUGUUUUGGAGGAUGAUGGAUACAGGAUUCCUGACGAUGACACUCUAGAGGCUCUUCGCUCAUCUAAAGACUAUUUGUUUAUGUUGUUGGACGACAACGAGAGCUGGUCAAACAGAAGCGAUGGCAGUCCCCCCAGUCCCCCGAACUUCACUGGAUUAGCCGAUUACAAUCAGAUGGAAAAAGACCCACAAAGCUCAACAGUAAACAUUCCGGAUGACUAUACGAGCGAAAUAGGAUCCGGCUCUCACGGUGAAGAAUACCAAAGGGAUGUUGCCCUUCUGAUGCUUGUGCGGGCAACCCUAGCAAAGAGUGACUUCAAGAUGGGCUACGAAAUGUCUGCUGCUGGAAAGUUUGACGAUGUUGCAUUUUUUGACGAAAACAAAAAAGAAUGGUUGCUGAUUCAAACGAAACAUGCUGAUACGGUAAAAGGGCCACCAAAACCCAUCGACUGGAAUUCGUUACUUCCGGAGAACAAAAAGGAGCAAGACCGGUCAGAUUUUUCGCUAAUCAAGUAUUGUAAAUCGUAUGUGGAAGUUCAAAACCAGAUUGAUGGUUGUAAAAAGUUUUAUAUUUUCACCAAUAAACCAUUGGUCAAAACAAUCCUACACAAUUUUCAAACAUGCGAGGCUCAUAAACUGUUACGUGUUGCAAAAAAUGAUGAAGCAUUCCAACACGUACAGGUCAAACCAACUGACGACGUAGUGAAUAAACUGCUCAAAUAUAUCAAUCAGGACUUUGAAUCUCUGGUAGGAGCAAUAGUGGAACUUUUCAACAGUGGAAAAGUAGAUGCUGUGUUGAGCAAAUACAAAACUCACCUAGCAAAUGUGAUCGUUGUAGAAAAACAUGUUCUGAAGUUCCAUCCAAGUUUCUCAUCAAAUGACCCUGAUCCCAACAUCAAAUGCUUGUACGACUCACUACAGGUGAAGCAGAUUAUCGGCAAAGAGCGAGACAAUAUUAGCGGCGACAACAGGAAGCUCCUAAUAGGAAAAUCGAGGGAAAACAUAAAAUUUCCUCUGUUCGUAGGAAGAACACAAGUGGAGGAGUUCUUGCAUAAUAUGGUGCUGUCUGUCGGACAACCGGAUGAUCUUCGUAGUAUUAUUGAAAACGAAAUUCGGAUUUGGAUAAAAUCAUGGAUACGACCAGAUGGCUUCGGUAGACUGACUGAAACACAGGUGUCUCUUCCGGUAACGAGCAUGAAUAAGUUGUUUUGUGAUUUUAACAGAAUCUUCAGCCAGGAUAAGAAGAAGUUUCUGAAACUCGUUGAUGGAGAAGGCUUUUUCAAAACAAUUGAAAACGAACUGAGACAACAAUUAACGAAUCCAGCAGGUCAAAGUUGGGACAAGUUUGAGCAGCGCUACGUAAACCGCCGAAUGGUUUACACCGAUCAGAAAGAAGCCCAGGAGAAAAUAACCGAUUGGGAAUUGGUGCAACAAAUGACGGCCGAAUCCGUGAAUCAACCAUGUUUAAUUUUCAUCGCUGAGCCAGGCAUGGGGAAGACAACACUUCUACAGUACAUUUCGUUCCAAGUGCAACAGGAAGAUAGACGUCAUGUAUUUCUAGUAUAUCUUAACAGGCUUCACAACCAUCUGAAGGAAGUCAAAGAGGUAGUCAAUUUUGAUAAGGCCCUAAGUGUUUUUCGUGACGCGAUUUCGGAAAGCAAUCGUAAUAUUAUCAAAAAAGCUGCUAGCAAUAAUGGUGGAACAAAGCAAAGUCAAAUAGUGAUAUUUUGUGAUGGAUUUGACGAGGUUCAUCCCAAUCACACAAAGCAGAUGAUUCAGGUCAUCCAACAACUGAUGUCAGUAAAAUGUAUUAAAAUAGUUAUCAGUAGUAGGAAACAUGCCAAACAAUUGCUCGAACAAAGCUUCGCCGUCAAGUCCAUGCAUAUCGAUUCUUUCAGCAUAUUGGAUCAAAUAUCGCUCUUUCUAAAAUUAGCUUCCAUUGAACAAACCCAACACAACCCUUUACUAGCAUCUUUUUUCAAGAAAAAUCAAGCAGUCAUCAAUCGCGACUCUGCCGGUUCACCGCUCAUGAUAAGGAUGUUCGUUGAAGUAUAUUCCGAGCAUAUUCGAAACAUACUGAAACGUAAUUGCGAUGAAAACGUAGACUUGCUGUUUCCUUCCAAACCUAUUGACAUUGUAGAUUUAUUUGAGAAAUUUGUUAGAAAAUCCUUCAAUGCCAAAAUGAACAAAAAGUACGGAGCCACAAUCGAUGAAGAACUCAGUGACGACGAAAAUGACUACUUUUACGAAAAAUUUAUGUUGGAACAUCAAUCGUUGGCGCUAAAGCAGCUUGCUAUUGCGGAAAUGCUGGAAUAUUCGGAAACUUUAGAAGAAACGUACAAAACAUUUACGACUCGAAUUGAUAAAGGUUCCGACAAGUCCCUCCUCAUCGAAAAGGUUGAUGACAUGAUCCGGUUUACUCAUUUGUCGUUUGCAGAGUACUUCUUAGCCAAACUGCUGUAUGACCGUGUUUCGGAAUUUUCAUCCAAAUUGAGGACAAUUUUUGAGCAAAAUCCUGGAAUGAAAAGAUUCUUCUUCAUAAUGGUGGAAAAAUCGGAAAAAUCAAAGCAUUUUAAAAUAUUGAACGAAUUGCACAACGAGGAUGAAGUGACCGGAACGCACAGAAAUGCGAUUGCUUUUUACGCUUGUGAGGCCAACUGCAAAAAUCUGGUGAGGCAUUUGUUUAAAGAUCACGACUUGGACAGUAUGGCACACAAGAAAAUGGGAACAAUGAUGCAUGUUGCUCUAAAUAAUGACUGCCCUGAAAUAUGUCAGUUUCUUAUUGCCGAAUGUGGUGUUGAGCCAAACUUUUUGGAUGAAAAUGGUAAAUCACCACUGUAUAAGGCCUCCGAGCAUGGUAAUGCCGAACUGGUGAAGUUUCUGAUCCACAAAGGCGUUGCAGUAGAUCAAAUGAAUGUAUACAAUUCGACAACUCUGUGUGCUGAUGGUUCCGACAUUGUUGAGAAAGAAGACAAAUGGGCACCACUUCACGUUGCAGCUUACAAUGGUCAUGUAAAUGUUUGCAAAUUAUUGUUAGAAAGUGGUGCUUCUAUAGACAUUCAGCAAUCAGAAGGAUUGACUCCACUAUGCUGCGCAGCUCAAAACGGUCAUGAUGAUGUUGCCAAAUUACUCAUCGAAAGUGGUGCAUCGGUGAACAUCAUAGGGGAAACAGGAAUAUCGCCACUUCACAUGGCAGUUACAAUAGGUAAUGCUGACAUUGUCAAGUUUUUGAUCGAUGCAGGUGCCUCAGUCGACAUCCAGGAUCCAAAUGAAUCAACACCAAUCCACUAUGCAGCUCAAUUCGGCCACACUGACAUUACCCAACUGUUGAUCGACCAUAAUGCCAAGGUUAAUGGUAAGGCCAAGUACGGAAUUACGCCACUUCAUAUGGCUGUUCUAAAUUAUAAAACUGAUAUUGUAUGGUUGUUGAUCGGCAAAAAUGCUUCUGUUAACGCACAGGUAGCAGAUAAAUGGACGUCACUUCAUAUGGCAGCUCGAAAUGGUAAUAUCGAUAUCGUUAAGCUACUGAUCGAAUCUAAUGCCAGAGUUGAUAUCAAGAACAACAGUGGAGACAUACCUCUCCACGUAGCAACAGUAAACGGACACACUGAUAUAGCCUUAAUGUUGAUCAAAUGGUCACCAGUAUCGAUCCAUAUUCAAAACAAACAUGCUCGAACACCACUUCAUAUUGCAGCUGCUGGAGGGCAUUUACAAGUCGCAGAAUCGUUGAUCAAGAGCGGUGCUUCAUUAGAUAUCAAGGAUAAAAAUGAAUGGACGCCACUUCGUGUAGCAGUUCUAAACAAACAUGUUGAUGUCGUCCAAUUAUUGAUGAAAUAUACACUCAGUUCUUUUUGUACACGGUGGAUAUGUACCGUGUAAAAAAGUAGAAGAGCCCGUGCCUAGGGGCACGAACGGAAGCUUGAAGUAGGACCAUGCUUGGCCAUUACAUUUGUUUUUGCGC